This is a non-coding RNA of Cinara cedri, 228 nucleotides long. Lineage: Eukaryota; Metazoa; Arthropoda; Insecta; Hemiptera; Aphididae. The record is from the annotation of a GenBank genome assembly.
AAUUCGAAAUUUUUUAGCGAAAUAUUAAAAUAAAAAAACAAACAGACAUAAUUCGCGUAAUAGGUGGGGGCCACUGUUGUCGGUGAGAAGUUGGGAAGGUAGAAGAGAAAUUUAAUGUAAAUCUGUACGCAACGAUUAAGCAUUACUAACGAAAAACGACUCUGAGCUGAGUUUUUCCCCGGUUUUCCCUAUUUAUUAUGAAACCCCCCCGCGAAAAUCAAAAAAUAA